RNAcentral lists this long non-coding RNA (1078 nucleotides) under Salmo salar (Atlantic salmon). RNAcentral describes it as "lncRNA (ENSSSAG00000115134.1)". Lineage: Eukaryota; Metazoa; Chordata; Actinopteri; Salmoniformes; Salmonidae. The record is from RNAcentral.
CUGGAUAAGAGUGUCUGCUAAGUGACUCCACCUGGUCGUGCUGCUGCUCCAGGUUCAACUGUUCUGCCUGCGGCUAUGGAACCCUGACCUGUUCACCGGACCUGCUACCUGUCCCAGACCUGCUGUUUUCAACUCUCUAGAGACAGCAGGAGCGGUAGAGAUACUCUGAAUGAUCGGCUAUGAAAAGCCAACUGACAUUUACUCCUGAGGUGCUGACCUGUUGCACCCUCGUCAACAACUGUGAUUAUUAUUAUUUGACCCUGCUGGUCAUCUAUGAACAUUUGAACAUCUUGGCCAUGUUCUGUUAUAAUCUCCACCGGCAGAGUCAGAAGAGGGCUGGCCACCCCUCAUAGCCUGGUUCCUCUCAAGGUUUCUUCCUAGAUUCUGGCCUUUCUAGGGAGUUUUUCCUAGCCACCGUGCUUCUACACCUGCAUUGCUUGCUGUUUGGGGUUUUAGGCUGGGUUUCUGUACAGCACUUUGAUAUAUCAGCUGAUGUAAGAAGGGCUUUAUAAAUACAUUUGAUUUGAUCUAUCGUCCACCCUCCGCCAAGAACUGUGUACUAAACAAACUCUCUGAUUUAAUUGCCAUUUUUAUUACGACCUUUUUUUGUGACCUUUAUUUUGGUGACUUUGAUUGCAUUGCAUCUAUAUCUGACCCAGAGUUGGCUGUGAAACACUUCACAAAUGUUUUCAAUUGUAUUGUAGAUAAACAUGCUCCCUUUAAAAAACUGAGCAUUAAAAAUCGGUCUAGCCCUUGGUUCAGUCCAGAGCUAUCUGAAGUCAUACAUAAGAGAGAUGCUGCCUGGGCAAAAGCUAAAAAAUGCUGUGCUGCCUUGUUCAUUGACCUGUCAAAGGCGGUCGACACUGUUGAUCAUUCUGUUUUGCUGAAGAAAUGAUCAAGAGUAGGCCUGGGAUAUACAGCCCGUUUAUGGUUUCAGAAUUAUCUUAGCGAACAGAACUCAGGCCAUCUUCAUAGAUGGGGUUAAAUCUGAAUUUCUUGAAAUUCAGAAAGGUUUUCUUCAGGGUUCGAUUUUGGGUCCAUUAUUGUUCACUUUGUAUAUUGAUGGCAUUGGAAACAC